This 348-nucleotide unclassified non-coding RNA is filed under the name Hevea brasiliensis (rubber tree). The record is from RNAcentral. Lineage: Eukaryota; Viridiplantae; Streptophyta; Magnoliopsida; Malpighiales; Euphorbiaceae.
GGCAAGUAACCGGAGUUCAGCUGUAGCAGUUCUCUGCAUAUCAAUGGAAGUGCUCUUCAAGUCCUCAACCAACUUUUUAACUUGCUCCUCAAGUUCUGAUAGAUCAGCCCUUUUUUCAACUGUAGGGGAAGAAAUUAUUCUUGGAAACCUCUCAGAUGGUCUGCGCCAAAUCGCUUGAUUACGAGGUCUCGUCUCUAGUGUAGAUGGAAAUUCUGGCUCCCUUCGGGGGAUAGAAGCAGCAGGCUUGGAGUCCACUACAACAUCCCCUGAAGCAACAGCAGCAGCUUCUGGCUGUGAGGACAACUUAUUUCCAUCACUGGGAAUUACAGGGGAAAAGUUUGAAUUAGC